This 253-nucleotide ribosomal RNA is filed under the name uncultured bacterium. RNAcentral describes it as "partial 16S ribosomal RNA". It matches the Rfam family "Bacterial small subunit ribosomal RNA", at positions 524 to 776 of the family's 1533-position model. The record is from RNAcentral.
UACGAAGGGGGCUAGCGUUGUUCGGAAUCACUGGGCGUAAAGGGCGCGUAGGCGGCCGAUCAAGUCGGGGGUGAAAGCCUGUGGUUCAACCACAGAAUUGCCUUCGAUACUGUUUGGCUUGAGACCGGAAGAGGUAAGUGGAACUGCGAGUGUAGAGGUGAAAUUCGUAGAUAUUCGCAAGAACACCAGUGGCGAAGGCGGCUUACUGGUCCGGUUCUGACGCUGAGGCGCGAAAGCGUGGGGAGCAAACAGG